Long non-coding RNA from Dicentrarchus labrax (European seabass), 3017 nucleotides. RefSeq lists it as uncharacterized. The record is from RefSeq and is a predicted model, not a curated record. NCBI's taxonomy places the organism in Eukaryota, Metazoa, Chordata, Actinopteri, Moronidae. The transcript has 2 exons.
CUCCACGGACAGCGCCUGACGUAGACGCUGAGGGGCGGGAGUAAGCGACGCGUCGCGGCCAAUCGCAGCCCCUCUAAAGACAUACACGUGUGUUAGACCCCGUCUGGAUGGAGUGGGUAGGGGUGGGGGAUGUGUCUUGCAGACGCUGCGGGUCGCCUUCCAUGGAGUCCGCCAUGUUGAACCGCCAUGUUUCUACAGUGUCCCAGAUUGGACAAACUAGACUCUGGCUGUAUAUACAGUCUUUCACAGUUUUGCAGUCUGUAACUUCACCGCUAGAUGCCACUGAUCCUUUAACCAUGUAGUCUGUAGUUGCUCAAACCUAACCAAACCCCAGCCUCAGAACAGAAAAUGCUCACUUAUUUUGCCAUGUCGAUAUGAGGACUUGUUGAAGGUGUUCGCAGUCUUAAACAACGAUCCGCUUCAAAGUGUCAGCCACCUGUGAUUGGUCCAGGUUUCUACUGGACUAGUCUUUCAUUAUGAUAACGAAGGGACAGCCCCUGUCCCAUAUGUGUCAGUGGAGCAAACACAGAGGCUUUAGCGGCUUGGAUCAUCUGUUCAGAGCAGUCAACCUGUCAUCCAUCCAGUAACCGUCCUGCUGUCGAGAUAUCCAGACAGUGUGUUGGCCCGUCAGUCUGCAUACACACAAGCUGGCGUGCUCAUAUGGCCUCAGACGUUACUGCAAAUAGAAGCAGCCGAUAAAAGACUGAAGCACCAUCUGCCCUGCACGUGGAGCGGAAGUGAGUGGACACAGAGCAGCGAGGGUGGGGAAGGUGGGGGGAUAAUGGGAUGAAACGUGCUGCUUUGCUUUUGCUGGCGGGCGAAGAACUGAGCAGAAGUGGGUCAGACAAAGGGAAAAUCCACUCAAAGUUAAGAAUGAAGGCAAUCUCUCUGGGAUAUUAGGCCUCAGUGUAGAGAGGUAUGACAGAGAAAAUAGAUAGAAAGACUGACCCCAGUGAGCAGGAUGUACAGGACACAUUGCACAUAUGCAAAGCGGCUGCUCACUCAUGCUGCAGAGCAGAGCUGACGUUCAGUGGGGCAAACAGCCUGAGUGGCUGCAGGGCCAAGCAUAUCCUCAGACUGCAGUUACUAGGUGAAGUUGCUUUAUAUAGAACUCAAGUAAAAGCAGGCUAUUAUGGGGAAAAGAGGUUUGGGCUAUGUGUUUGAGAAAGUGUGUGUAUAUAUGAAAAAAACACUUAAUGGGAGUGUGCUUUCACGCAUGCUUUCACACACACAAGUCCUCUAAGCAUUCAUUCAACCAUCUACAAUCAACACACAAACACAGCAGCCCACCCUCACACACACACACACACACACAUGCCACUUGGCAAACAUGUUAAUCACUGCUGUGCAAUUCUUUUAAAGGAUAAUUCCAGUUUAUUACAACUUGGGUCUUAUGUUUUCAUAGUUUUAGGGACAUUUGUUAAAAGAAAAGAAGGCGGGGCAAGGCACUUACAGGUUGGAAACAAACCCUGAGGUUACUCAAAAUUUUUUUUUUAAAGAAAUCGAAUCGUAUAAUUGACAUAGAUAGAUACUUGUAUACAAGCUGUUUGUUAAUCUUACUGGUCAUGUUUCUUGCUCUGUGAAGUUGUAGCGUUGCUGCUGCUUUCCCAGAUCUCAGAACAACUUGCUUUACUUACUUACUUACUUUUGUAAGCACAAUGCGAUCAGAACCAAAGGAUUGAUGGCCAAGGCUAUUAAAACAAGACCCAGAUUGUAGUAAACCUUCAAACUGAGCUUUCAUUAUUAUGCACAAUAGAGUGCUGCAGGGAUGUCGUAUUUUAAUUGGUUAACCAGGAAGUUAGCUCCGCCCUGCAUCCUUCGGCCAAAUCCUAUGUGACAUUUCCACUGGAUUUUGGGAUAUUACAGAACAUUUUCACAAAUGAACACCACUUUUAUCAUUUUUGAAGCAUAAAUGCAAUCGCCAGAGGUGAAAAGCGUAACAGUAACAGCACGGUCGCAUGACUUCAACCACCAUCAAUUCCAAUUUGUAAUUAAAUCUUGUAAGUUGGAAAGUUUGAGUUACAAUAGUUUGAAGAGCGCAACUAUAAACCCAACAAGGCUGUAAAGGUGGACUAUAGUGAGUAGAUAGUGUUCGUGUUUGGCGUGGUGACGUUUAAUGUCACAGACAACCUCUGUAAUCUCAUUGAGCCACUUUUUAGCAACUGCCUUUUUUAAAACCUGUAAAAGCUUCAAAAUUCACAUUUACUGGUGUAUUUUAUGUCAUAGAACCAAAUGUGAAAAUUCUGUUAACCACAGACUUUAUUUGUGGAACUAAAAACCAAUGCAAAAGAGCAAUGAACUUCGAGGUAAGGGAACUCAUUUCCGGGUUUUAUGACUCAUUCCUGCAGCACUCUGUGACAUGCAUCCUCCACUGGACAUCCCUGAAAUACUUCAGCCCCCAUCUAAUUCAGUGGCAUUUACUCCUGCAGGUGAGACCACCGUGAGCCUGUUAGCAUUGUGUUUGAGAAUGUCAGACCUUAAAUGAGACAGCUAAUUCAAUUUUAACUUCCUUUUGACCCCGUCCAACUGUUCAACAAUGGCCGUUCAGAGAUAUUUAUAAAUAUGUAAACUUUGCAUCCUGAGGCAGAAAAGGAAAUAGCUGAGCUGCUUUCUGCUGUGAUAUAUUCAUCUUCACAGCCCGUCUCUGUUGGGGGUCUGCUGUAAUCACAUAGCUAACUCAGCUCUGUUUAGAAAAUCUGACUUCAUUGUUUAGUUUACACCCAUUACAGGCCCCAGGCACGUGUGUCAGAAACCUGCUGGUGUGUUUGCACUGAGGAAGAUGGAUGCCCCCACUAGAAGACUCAUACAUUUCCUAAUGCCUCUUUAAAUCUCCCACUCUGUAUAAACAGUCACUACUUCAAUGCACACGUAGACGUUUAUUGAUGCUGCAAGCCUUAACAGACUGUUACUGACAGUUUAGAACUUGCCUCACUCACUCUUUGUCUCUCUAAAUGUCUCUAUGUACUCCAUAAAAGCUCCAUUGUUAAUAAUUUAAAAAUCUUAAUAUCUGCCUGUCA